RNAcentral lists this ribosomal RNA (774 nucleotides) under uncultured Neocallimastigales. RNAcentral's name for it is "partial large subunit ribosomal RNA". It matches the Rfam family "Eukaryotic large subunit ribosomal RNA", at positions 24 to 645 of the family's 3401-position model. Lineage: Eukaryota; Fungi; Neocallimastigomycota; Neocallimastigomycetes; Neocallimastigales. The record is from RNAcentral.
UAUGUGAUCGUCUCUCGCAUAUCAAUAAGCGGAGGAAAAGAAACUAACAAGGAUUCCCCUAGUAACGGCGAGUGAAGCGGGAAGAGCUCAAAUUUGAAAUCUUAAAGGGUUUCCCUUUACGAAUUGUAGUUUAAAGAAGUGUUUUCUGCUGAGGUUUUGGUAAAAGUUCUUUGGAAUAGGACAUCAUAGAGGGUGAGAAUCCCGUAUUUGACCUUUACUUUCAACUUUGUGAUACACUUUCAAAGAGUCGGAUUGUUUGGGAAUGCAGUCCAAAAUGGGUGGUAAAUUUCAUCUAAAGCUAAAUAUUGGCGAGAGACCGAUAGCGAACAAGUACCGUGAGGGAAAGAUGAAAAGAACUUUGAAAAGAGAGUUAAACAGUACGUGAAAUUGUCAAAAGGGAGGCGUUUGACACCAGUGUUGUUUUUCUGAAAAUCAAUUAAAGAACUGUUUAUGCUAAGUUGUUUAGACUUUAUCAGCUAACUGUUUAGUUUUGAGCUUUUCUUUAAUGCACUUUUCAGUUAACAAGUCAACAUCAAUUUCUUUUGCUGUAAAAAAGCUUGAGGAAGGUGGCUUGAGAUUCGUCUUAAGUGUUUAUAGCCUCUUGCCUAUGCAGUCGGAGAGAUUGAGGUCUGCAGCGUAGAUCCUUCGGGGCUAAAUGCAUUUGUGCUAAGUUAUAGCAUUUUAUAGACAACUUGUUGACUAUGAUUUGUCUUGUAGCUUACUCGCUUAUGUUAUUUUACCUACGCUUAGGAUGUUGAAGUCAUCGUAUCGCGC